AUAUAUGAUAAUUAAACUCGACCAAAAUAAAAUAUUUAUGUCCCGAUCUACCGUUCUGAAACACCCUAGCAGCCAUUUCCGCUAAUACAUCAGCCAGUGACCAACUCGCUGGAAUUGAGACACACUAGUGUCGCCCCACUCCUCUCCUGUGUCGCAACCAAUCGUCGCUGCUGAUAUUCGAAGUCACUGGAUUGGAUUACGAGUCAUUCCGUCAUCACCUCCUUGGUUCUGUUACGCCGCUGCCGUGCAUCACUUUUGCUCCAUCUUGAUUUAAGGUGAAUGACGAAAUGUUUAACAAAGAUGAGUUAUUGAUGUAGCUCUGGUGAUAGAUGUCUUUUUGUAGAUCACAAACCGGGUUGGGAGCUUGCGAAAAAAAUAUUGGUUGAAGCUUCAUAUCAAUCCUUGGGAUUGAGAAAUCCAUCACAACAUCUUUCUAGAUCGGGUCCUCCUGGAGUUUUAUCCCCAAGGGGCCCAACUCCAAUUCAUGUUGAUACAAGAUCACCACCAAGACCAACUUAACCCAAUUCUUCAACUCAACCAAGACCAACUGUAGCUAACAUGAUUCAAGCCCAAGUGAACGCUUUAUCUGCUACAGUUUGUUCACAAGGUGAAACAAUCAAGAUGUUGGUUGAAGCAAAGUGAAAAGAUUUCAAAGUUAAAAAAAAAAUGAUAAGGUGUAUCAAGAAACUUUUGACAAGUUGCUUACUAAGAAUGCUUCUUUGAAAGAACAAUAUGCUGAGCUUGCAAAGCGACUUGGUGCUCAGGGGGAGAAGUCUGGUACGGGUCGUAAAGGUAAUGAGUUACAAGGAAAAGACAGUUGAUAAGGUUGGAACUGUUGCUGAGGAGAUGUAGAAGGUUGUUGAUAAAGCUAUUGCAGAUUCAGUAAAACAAAUUGCAACACAAGAAGCAUUCAUGGCUGAGUAGUGUGCAAGCUGCAAGUAGUGUGCAAGCUGCAACUACUAUGGAUGUUGAUAGUACUACAACUGAGGGGGCGUCUGGUACUAGUGAUGAAAGAGGAAAGACAAAGGUUGAUGAAGCAGAUCCGGCUAUUAGAAUGAUAACAAAUAGAUGCAUUAGCUGGUUUAGGUUUGCAGUUGUUUGAGUCGGAUGAUGAUAGUGAUGAUGAACAUUUAGAAGAUAAACAUUGUAUUGAAAAUGAUGACUUAGAAGAAGGCGAGAUAGUGGAGGACAGAUGAUGAGGCAAGGAUAGACGUGGAGGUUAAGGCGAACAAGGAAAUGGUGUGUUAUGUUAAUAAUUAAAGAAGGCGUGGAGCUUGGUUUCUCUUAAAAACUGAGAAAAAUUAAUGAUGGAACAACUUAGACUACCAAUAUUCCUGAACCCGAAGUUAUUUUUGAGAUGUGGCCUCCAAAGCUAAUUCAGAAGGUUAACUACAUAUGCAAGGCAAACACAAUCGGUAGGAAUCUGAGUUAGAUGUAUGACUCAGAAUUCAAACUAUUAUGUAUCAAAAAAACUGACGGUGUUCAGUACAUCAAACUGGGGGUUAAGUAUUUGACAACGUUGCCUAUUUUUUUUAUCUACAUACGUUAAGACAUACUAAUCUUAUUAAUCGUGAUAAGGAUGGAUAUGCUGAAGGAUUAUAUAAGGUUUUGAGAUAAGAAGGGUAUGAUUAUAAAUGGAAGCACUUUAAACCAUGCAUUGGUCGGUGGGUUAAAGACAAGAUGAGAAAAGAUCCAAAGACUAGUGAUUAUAUGUAUAAGAUGGUUUACAAGCUAGCAAGAUGCAUCUAGAAGAUUCCUUUAAAGAAGCAUGAAAUGGACAUCUUGAGAGGAAUGAAAUGUUGGUUUGUAGAUCACAUGACUAGUGAAGCUAUGAUAGCACGAAGCAAUACAUCUGAUGAGAUUCUUUGUGUCUAUGAUCCUAUGAAUCUAAUAAACAUGUCAAUGGAAGAUCUGAAGUAGUUGCGAAGACAUGACAUCCAGUAUCAUCUAAAAUAAAGACUUCAGGGAUUACAGUUUAAACGUGUUGUGGAGUUGUGCAUGACAAAGGGAAUUUGUGCUGGAAGCUUGUUUCCAUCUUAAUGGAAUUAAACCGGGUUGAAGACAUCAAGAAGCAUCCAUCAAGGGGGAGUCUACUGAUGCACCUUGGUGAUCAAGGCUUGGAUGAUACAGUGUUAGAUUCGAUAGUAUUGUUGUAAUAGUUUGAUUUCUAAUAUGUUUUGUAAAUGCCUAACUGUUAGCGCACUCAAGGCUUAACUGCAUUGGAAUGUUAGCACAAUUAGCCUUAAUAUCGUUGUUAAGCUAGAUAACCUCACUAGUAUGUUAGCGAGGUUAUAGAAUCUAGCGCAUUUAGUCGGGUGCCUAUAUAAAGUUGUAGGCUUGUCAUUUUGUGAGGACUUUUGGUGAGAUUGUGAGUAUUUGUGUGAAUUUAUGUAAUUCAUUGUUUACAUUCAUAAUCAACAAAAAUAAGUUAUUUACGCUGUUUGUGUACGUCUAUACUUGUUGUGAUGGAUUUCCGCACUUCACGUGCAAGAGUGAUUCGAGUUAGUCGAUAUAUGGGUGUUGUGGGACCUACAUGUUUCCAAAGCCGACGGUGUUAAAGAAGAUUCCAUCGAGGAAACAACCACAUAACUAUUGAAGACCAUAAGAUGGUGCUAUUACGAUUGUGUAACAGGUGAAGUAGUUAUUAUGUUGGCGAAGGAUAACAAUAUCAUUAGAAUUUUUUAUCCGAUGACGAUUUUGAACUUCUACGCCGAAGAUAUCAAGAUCUUAUACAUGAAUGAUAUAUUCUAUGAUCUGAAAGAUAUGAAGCAAACACUACAAUUUCAGUGAGUUGUUCAAGUGUGCUUUUCUUUUGAUAUCUACACCAGAAGUGGUUGGAAGUCAAACUGGAAGUAAACAAGUGUAGAUUGAAGACAGAGACCUCCAACUAUUGUUAAGGGGGAGUCUGUUGGUGCAGAUUCAGUGACAUUAGCCUGGGGGUGUCAAGUUUAUGUUUGGGUGUUUGGGUUAUGUUUUGGAAAUGUAUCGCAAAGAGACAUGGCACAGAGAGUCUCUCCUAAACAUAGACACCCUCUGCGCUAAAUAA
Molecule: long non-coding RNA, 3046 nt
Filed under: Helianthus annuus (common sunflower)
Lineage: Eukaryota; Viridiplantae; Streptophyta; Magnoliopsida; Asterales; Asteraceae
Description: hypothetical non coding rna
Source: RNAcentral